RNAcentral lists this transfer RNA (85 nucleotides) under Gammaproteobacteria bacterium. RNAcentral describes it as "tRNA-Leu". It matches the Rfam family "tRNA". From Rfam's summary of the family: Transfer RNA (tRNA) molecules are approximately 80 nucleotides in length. The record is from RNAcentral. Lineage: Bacteria; Pseudomonadati; Pseudomonadota; Gammaproteobacteria.
GCGGAAGUGGCGGAAUUGGCAGACGCGCCGGUUUUAGGUGCCGGUGGGGCAACCCGUGGGAGUUCGAAUCUCCCCUUUCGCACCA